Long non-coding RNA from Vulpes vulpes (red fox), 1010 nucleotides. The record is from Ensembl. Lineage: Eukaryota; Metazoa; Chordata; Mammalia; Carnivora; Canidae.
AUGAUCCUGCGAACAAAUCAUCUAAAACUGAAGGCAUCAGAAAUGCUGAUUACAAAGCCACCAUGUAUUAUGGGCAAAAGAACUAUAAAGAUACUGAUAAUGCCGCUAAGAGUUCUUGCUGGCCAUCUCAGGGGCACUGCUGUGUUCCAGGUAACUCACCAAGGGAAUGUGGUGAUUUAAUUGUCUGGAUGGCACAGCAAGAGAUCCUCUGAAGUCAGAUUGAAGUUGGCUCUGUAGCAUCUUGCUUCUGUUUUAGAAAAAUAUACACUUUCUUUGGAUACUCAGCAUGAUAUUCAGUAAGCAUGGAUGUGAGAGGCUAACAAAGAAGAAAUGCUGUUAUAUAUUAUUCACUACUCUCCUAGGGUCCCUUGACACUUGGAGUUAACAUACUUCCAUAGAAACAUUUAACUGUCAAUGGUUCAUUCCAGUAAAACCAAAUCAGACAAUGUACAUGUCAAGAAAAACACCAUUAAAGCUUGAGCUUUUAUCAAUGUAAAUCCUUUUGUUGUUUUUGUUUAAUGGCUAAACAAAGAUUUUAUGAAUAAUUUCAAUGUUCAUUGAAAAGAUAUUAAAACUUAUCUCCCAAAAUUUGUUCAAUCAAUUCUCAAAUUUCCAUAGGCACAUUUCCACAUUAUUAAAAUAUCUUUAGUGAAACAAAUGUUCUUGAUUGCAACACAAUUGUUUACUUUGUUAACACUUUUUCACUCAUUUACAGAUACUUUGAAAGGAUCCUAAAACCAAACAGAAAGGAAAACACUACUUAACCCCAUGAUCCACAAAAGAUGUGAGGAAAUCAGUGUUCUGUGGGUAUGAGCUUAAGAGAGCAUUAUUUGGUCCUCCCAUGCAGAUCUGUACUCAUUUUUUUUAUUCUGGAAGAGGGAGUCUGUGAUCAGAUAUGGGAUUUUCAUUUUCAUUACUGAAAAGAAAAUCUAUGUUGGCUGCUGCAUUAGUUUUUUCUUGUGAUAUACCAAAUUACCACAAACUUGGCAGAUGAAAACAACACACUAAUU